UACAGAGGUCUCAAGCGUUGUUCGGAAUCACUGGGCGUAAAGGGUGCGUAGGUGGCGUGGUAAGUCAGAUGUGAAAGCCCGGGGCUCAACCCCGGAAUUGCAUCCGAUACUACCAUGCUAGAGUACUGAAGAGGAAACUAGAAUUCUCGGUGUAGCAGUGAAAUGCGUAGAUAUCGAGAGGAAUACCAAAGGCGAAGGCAGGUUUCUUGGCAGUUACUGACACUGAGGCACGAAGGCCAGGGGAGCAAACGGG
RNAcentral lists this ribosomal RNA (253 nucleotides) under uncultured bacterium. RNAcentral describes it as "partial 16S ribosomal RNA". It matches the Rfam family "Bacterial small subunit ribosomal RNA", at positions 524 to 776 of the family's 1533-position model. The record is from RNAcentral.